Long non-coding RNA from Xenia sp. Carnegie-2017, 246 nucleotides. RefSeq lists it as uncharacterized. The transcript is spliced from 2 exons. The record is from RefSeq and is a predicted model, not a curated record. NCBI's taxonomy places the organism in Eukaryota, Metazoa, Cnidaria, Anthozoa, Malacalcyonacea, Xeniidae.
AAUGGAUGCGAUACAUAUAUCUGUGGUUGUAUAUGCCAGAAAAUGGAUGCGAUACAUAUAUCCCUUUGAUAUUUGAAACAUUAUGUAGAAACUAGAGAGUCAACAAAAAACGAUGUACGUGUUGUUUGAGUUUGUCGUCAAAAGCAGUUAAGCAUCUGAAUUAAGAAACUACAACCAUGCUUUGAGAGUGUAUAAUGAAAGAUGUUUGCAAGCAGAAUACAGGAAAUGGAUAGGCAUUAUGACCAA